Molecule: ribosomal RNA, 517 nt
Filed under: uncultured Glomus
Lineage: Eukaryota; Fungi; Glomeromycota; Glomeromycetes; Glomerales; Glomeraceae
Description: SSU rRNA
Rfam family: Eukaryotic small subunit ribosomal RNA
Source: RNAcentral
AGCAGCCGCGGUAAUUCCAGCUCCAAUAGCGUAUAUUAAAGUUGUUGCAGUUAAAAAGCUCGUAGUUGAAUUUCGGGAUCAUCAGGUUGGUCGUGCCUCUGGUAUGUACUGAUUUCGAUGGUUCCUCCUUCUUGAAGAGCCGUAAUGCCAUUAAUUUGGUGUUGCGGGGAAUCAGGACUGUUACUUUGAAAAAAUUAGAGUGUUUAAAGCAGGCAAUCGCUUGAAUACAUUAGCAUGGAAUAAUGAAAUAGGACGUUCGAUCCUAUUUUGUUGGUUUCUAGGAUUGACGUAAUGAUUAAUAGGGAUAGUUGGGGGCAUUAGUAUUCAAUUGUCAGAGGUGAAAUUCUUGGAUUUAUUGAAGACUAACUACUGCGAAAGCAUUUGCCAAGGAUGUUUUCAUUAAUCAAGAACGAAAGUUAGGGGAUCGAAGACGAUCAGAUACCGUCGUAGUCUUAACCAUAAACUAUGCCGACUAGGGAUCGGAUGAUGUUAUUUUUAAUGACUCAUUCGGCGUCCG